GUUUGGGUUUUUGCCGUUAAAUGCCUUGAAUGCUUCAAAAAGAAAGGUAAAUCGUACCAGUCACAACUCAUCAUAGACGUUGUUCGUACGUUUAAUUGUUAUUGUCUGAAGCAAAAAAAAACACCAAACAACAACAACAAACAAACAUACAAACAAACAAACAGAAAACAAUCAGAUUUCAGAAAAUCUCUUGCAGAUCAGAUACGAUAAAUUUACGGGGAC
RNAcentral lists this long non-coding RNA (222 nucleotides) under Mytilus galloprovincialis (Mediterranean mussel). The record is from RNAcentral. Lineage: Eukaryota; Metazoa; Mollusca; Bivalvia; Mytilida; Mytilidae.